GCGUGGACGAACGGAAAGACAGACAGACAAACACAUAGAUAGUGCAUUCAGACCUGGUUAUGGCAAAUUGUUGAGGACUCGAAGUACUCGGUAUUAGUUUAAACAAUAUUUUAUUUAUAAUCCACACAUUUACAUAAUAUAGUACAUAAAAUAAAAUUUACGGAUUUAGUAGGAAGCUUAUAAAGCUUUUUCCGUAUUUUUUUAAAUCAAAGAGCUAAAGCUUAGAUAUCAAAGGGACUCCACGGAGGGUAAAAAGCCGAAAACAUAACAUUUGAAUUUAUUACAUAAAUGAGCUGGGGCACUUUAAACAGAAAUAUAUGCAAAGAUAGUGAAGAAAUAUACUUUGAAAUAAAUUGAAAAUCGUAUUUUUAUGUUUUUCUUAGCCCGAUUUUCAGUCCCAUCCUGUCAAAAAACCUCAGUGGAGUCCCUUUAAGCAUGAAAUAUCUUCUAAUGGGUGUCUACCCACUUUGUUCAAAUAAAAGCCCUCUGGUUUAAAUUGGCCCCGCCCUGGGGUCCUAUAUACAGGUGUGCGACUUCAGUGCCAUCAUGGUCCUCUUGUUUAUAAUUAUUUCAUAUAAAUUUCUGUGUCUAGAUAUAUCUAAAUGUAAUGAAGCUGUUGUAGCAGUUUUUAAAUAUCAACAACAAAUUAUUAAAGAAUUUUCUGUGAAAAAUCAAGAAAAAAAAACAUUUACCUGCACCAUGAUUAAAUUAUAUGCUUGCAAAAUGUUUAUUUCUCUACAGCAAAAAAGAAAGUCAUCAAAGACAUCACAUAUUUGAUGAAAACUAUGCAAAUGUUAUUAGGAGAAAACAUUCAUAAAUGGCGUCAAUUACUUCAAGCGUAAAACUAUAGAACAACUGUGUUUUCGUUUACAAAAGCAUUUCCUGUUUCAAAUGCUGGACCCAAAGUAUCCAGCAACAGGACUAAGAAUCCACAUGAUGAGGUGUGUACAGACAAAUUCAUGUCUGUACAAGUUAUUCUGCAGAAACCAAACACUAUCACUCAAUUACUCGGCUUAUCUGCUUUUGAAUGAAGCUUUGGCCUUCAUCGUAGCCUGUUACAAGAAUAUAACCUACUUAAAGGCCGAUGAAGGCUGCAGAGAGACAGAAGUGGAAAUUAGGGAUUUGAUCCGUAAAACAAGAAAAAAUUUGUGUUUGAAUAUUAAUUGACAUUUCAGUGACAGUGUUUGUAUCUGAAGGGCUUCUAUUUCAAUAAUUAUGUUUACUUUGAAGUUAGAAUUUUACAUUUAUCUUCUUAGUAUCUAUUUUUCACUGAUUAUAAAUGCUCUUAUUCAUUGCUUUUAUUGUGCCCCCACUUUAGUUGCGGGCAUUUAGAUUUACCCUUGUCCGUCCGGCCGUUCUCUUUUGUGUCGCACGUACCUCAAAAAGUAUUUAACCUAGAGUCAUGAAACUUUACAGGAAUGUUGAUCAGCAUGUGUAGAUGUGCACAUGGGUAUUUUCGUCUGGAUAUUGUUUGUAUUUUUAGAGUAAUUGCCCUUGACUUAGUAAAAUUUUGCAAUUUUCAACUUGUGUCACAUGUAACUCAAAAAAUAUUUGACCUAGAGUCAUGAAACUUUACAGGAAUGUUGAUCAGCAUGUGUAGUUGUGCACCUGGGUAUUUUCGUCUGCAUUUUUUUAGUAUUUUUAGAGUUAUUGCCUUGCCCUUGACUUAGUAAAAAAAAUUCAAUUUUCAACUUGUGUUGCAUGUAAAUCAAAAAGUGUUUGACCUAGAGUCAUGAAACUUUACAGGAAUGUUGAUAAGCAUGUGUAGUUGUGCACCUGGAUAUUUUCGUCUGUAUUUAUUUAGUAUUUUUAGAGUUAUUGCCCUUGACUUUGUAAAAUUUUGCAAUUUUCAACUUGUGUCGCAUGUAACUCAAAAAGUAUUUGACCUAGGGUCAUGAAACUUUACAGGAAUGUUGAUCACCAUGUGUAGUUGUGCACCCGGUUGUUUUCGUCUGGAUUUAUUUAGUACUUUUAGAGUUAUUGCCAUUGACUUAGAAUUUUUUUGCAAUUUUCAACUUGUGUCGCAUGUAUCUCAAAAAGGAUUUGACCUUGAGUCAUUAAACCUUACGGGAAGGUUGCUCAGCAUAUCAAGUUUUGCACCUGGGGUUUGGCUUGUGGAUUUAUCCAGUUUUUGAAGAGUUAUUUCCCUUGACUUAGUAAAAACCGUUUCAUUAUGUUAUCUGUUCCUUGAGUGCUUGAGUUAGAAUCAACCAACUUUACAGGAAUAAUGAUCAACAUCACUAAAUUACAGGAAUAAUGAUUCACAUCACUGUGAAGCUAUGUCCUGGGACUUGGCAUGUGAAUUUUUUUCAGUUUUGUUAUAGUUAUUGCCCUUGAGUUACAGUAGUAUAAAUUUGCAAUUUUCAACUUGUUCAUGCAUAGCUCAAAAAGUGUUUCACUUGAAGGCCUGAAAGUUUACAAGAAUGUUGGUCAGCAUGUGUACUUAUGCACCUUGGGGUUUGCUUGUGGAUUUAUUCAGUAUUUGUAAAGUUCUUGCCCUUUACUUAGUAAAAGAUUUUUAGUUUUCAAAAAAUAUUUGACCUAGAGUCAUUAAAUUGACAGAACAGUGGCGCGGUGGGGGGACCAGUGUCCUAUGGACACAUUUCUAGUUUAUUAUAAGGUUUAUAACUCUUUCAUCUAUAUUUCAAGAGGUAUCUCCUCUUAAAACUUAGAAUUUUGUUUGAAAAAAGUGUAUGAGAACUUCAUAUUAUUGUCUUUCCAUUUCAACACUAUAAUUUCUUUUGAUAUUUUACGGUUUAUAAAGUCAUACAUGCUAUGUUGUGUAAAAAUGUUGGAUCUUCAAAAUGUAUAUCCAGUAAAAAGUCUGUUGGACUGUUAUGAUUUUGGAACAACACAUCUUGUGUUGAUUCAGCUAAAUUUCAUCUAAUUUUUAUAGCUUGGCUAGAUACUUAGCGAAACUUGUUCCAACGAUUUCAGGAAUGUGGAACAUUAAGGCUAUAUAUAAAAGCAAUUUAAAACAGAGUUUAGAUUUGGACCAUAUUUACAUAUAUUGCCAUUCAAGAAAUGCUUUAUCAAAACUAUGAUUAUUUUCACACAAACUGGCUUUUGAUACUGUAGGCUAUUCUAGAAACAGAGUGGAAAGAAAUGAGUGUUAUUGUAUUUUUUGUCAAAACAGAGAUAUUGGAGAUGAAUAACAUUUCGAUAUAUAAUGUAUGUUGUACGAACAUUUUAGAAAACAAUAUAUUAAAGCCUUUUAUUAUAGGAGAGCAACUGUUACAAAGUUUACAGAUUUUUUUAAGAGUGAACAUCAAGCUUUUAUACUUAGGAAGUCUUUGCUUUGUUAAAUUUGCCAAUAUGGAAUUUUAUGGAUUUUGUGUAGGGUAUUGAUAUAUAUGUAAACAUCUUAUUCAUCCUCCACAAACAACAUGUUGACCAUGUAAAUUGUGUUUACUGUUUGUUAAAUCACAUGUUAAAAUUAUGUUGUAUAGGUAUAUGCAAAUGUAUGACCAAAAACUGUACUGUUUACAUCAGUUAAAUUGUCUAUCUAUCUUUCGAUACAUCCAUCCAUCAUUAAUAGAUAAUGCAUUGCGCAAUAACAGUAAUUGAGUUUUAUUAAUUUUGGCUUGGACAGUUUUGAUCAGAUCACAGAGUAAAUUUGAAUUAUUAAUUAAAAUCAUGAGGUGAAAGAGUGCAAACUUCUAGGAUGAUAACCUCACAAUUAACUGUUAUGUAUCCUUAUUUUAUCCAAGCUACAACACAAAAAUGAAUCAGAAAUAUCAUCUUGAAUCUUCAGUGUUUUAUCCUUCACCUUUUGCGUUAAUGCCCUUUGAUUUGUUGUAUUAUGUCAUGGUAGGAAUUGGAUCGAUUUUUUUUAUAGACAGGGGAUUUGGCAGAUUUUGACUGCUUCUUGUUUAACUUAUAUGUAUUAAUUUGUUACAAUUGUUUUGAUGUGUAAUAUAUAAGACAUGCAAGUUAAUCUGAAUCAUGUGAAGCAUUCGGUGCAAUUUGUGUGUUAUAGUGAAAAAUGUUAUAAAUGUAUAAAGACCUUAAGUUUCUGAUUCUUAGGAUUUCACUUGUUUCCUUGAAAUGUAUUUUACUUUACAUGUACUUUAUUGUGUGAUGUUAAAAAAAUGAAUAAUAACUGUAAAUUUACUGAUUUAUAUAAUUCCAAACAUUUCUGUGAAAUGUACUCAUUAUAUGUUUUAAAAGGAUAUAUAGGCAAUUUUUCAUGCCCCCUUCAAAGAAGAGAUAUUGUUUUGCUAAUGUCUGUCGGUCUGUCCAUCGGUAGACCAUAUGGUUUUCGCUGAUUAUAUUAUAAAGUAUUGAUCACAAAGUCUUCAUAUUUCAUAUUGUGAUUGGUCAUAACUACAAGAUGACCCCUAUUGAUUAAGGGGUCACUAGGUAAAAGGUCACAGGUACCGUAAAUGUCAGAAUGGUUUCCAUUCAUUAUUUUGAAAACUUUUUAUGGCAAACUCUUCAUUAUUUUUUCUUUUUUUUCACAACUGAACACUUCCAUGUACCCUUUUAUGGCAAGUUUCUAUAACAGAAUAUACCAAUAAUGUGAGUUAAGGGCUAGAAAGGUGUGGGGGGGGCAUAUGUAUCAUUCGACAUUUCUUGUUUAUUUAUUUCUGAAAUUUUAAUCCAAUAUUGUAUUGAUGUCCUCAAAAUGAAUACACUAAGCAGUCACAGGUACCAAAACAUUUCUCCUUAUAAAGGAAAAAAACAGGCGGUCUGUACUUGACCAAUGUUCAGAAAAUUCAUUUUUUUGCGUUAAAUAUCGAAGUGAACUUUGGGACCAUAAAAGUAUCCAUAUUAUGUAACGACUUAGACUUGUUCCACACUUGUAAUAUUUGCCAUGUUUGUUUUUGUAGGGCUUGUUACAUGAUGUUCCACACUAGUACUUUU
This is a long non-coding RNA of Ruditapes philippinarum (Manila clam), 4866 nucleotides long. RefSeq lists it as uncharacterized. The record is from RefSeq and is a predicted model, not a curated record. Lineage: Eukaryota; Metazoa; Mollusca; Bivalvia; Venerida; Veneridae. The transcript has 4 exons.